Lagopus leucura (white-tailed ptarmigan) is the source of this 6819-nucleotide long non-coding RNA. RefSeq lists it as uncharacterized. NCBI's taxonomy places the organism in Eukaryota, Metazoa, Chordata, Aves, Galliformes, Phasianidae. The transcript has 3 exons. The record is from RefSeq and is a predicted model, not a curated record.
ACACGUCCAGUCACUGUAAGGUGUUCUUUGUUGCAAAUCAAGCGUCAAGCGCAAUUAAUGCUCAAGUACAAAUCUGGAAAUGUUUCCAAGAAGGAUUUCCAUCCUGGAGUUUUUAAAUUGCGUUCGCCCUGUUGUGAGCCAAAGCAAGGUUGAAAUACAGCGCGGAGGACUGAACAGGCAUUACCACAUGGUGCUGAUUGUGGUUAGCACUGCAAUAGCUUUCAUUACACGGAUCAUUUGAGAAGACAGAAAAUAUUUCUCUUUCUGACUUCCGCCUUACUACAUGAACUGACCUAUGGUUGUUUGCAGUUGUAUGUAGCUCAUACUGCAUGCUUAGGACUGCUUAACCCGAAUCACUGCAAAAGAGGAAUUUCAAUUUUUCCAGUGUCAUUAGUUCCAGCUGUAAUUUCAUGACCCCUCUUCUCAUUCCCUGCUUCCCAGCACACACAAAGCAGAAUGCAGUUCUUUGAAGCUAGUGCUCUUCUGUCCAAAGAGACCAUCUUGGAAUGACUGCUAAUGCAUGCUCUGCUUCAUAUUCCAUCUCCCGAAAUACUGCACGUUGACUUUGCAGUUACUGUACUGGAUGCUAAUAUCAUCUGCCUUGUUGUUUAUGACUUAAGUGAUGCUAUUUUUAAUGGUGUUCUGGCAUGUCAAAUUGUAAGCGCAUUUUUGGCAAAGAGUGCAUGCAGCUCCUGGCUCUUCACACUGCUCAGUCACUUCGAUCGAUGCAGACACUGCCAUUACAGUGACACCUACAGAACACAUUAAUGCAGCCUUAAUUACUGAUACAGCUGCUCUGCCAAGAAACAAGCUACACUGCAUCAUCCAGAUGAUUCUUUGAGGGCAUUUAUGCUUAUUUUUUUAUCCACAGCAUAAAACCUCUUGACCGUUUGUAAAGUUGGCUUUCUUAAUCACCAUGGACCAACUCCAUACAUUCCCCUCAAAAUGUAUUCCCCAGAGGCUUAAAAGACUUCAACUCCAGCAUUGCAUUGCAGAAAGCUGGAUUUCUGGUCUGGCACUUGGGUUGACUUCUUCCUUUUUUCCACCCUCCAGCUUCUUUGGAAUAUCAGGAUUCUCAUCUUCCUGCAACUCAAAGCAGUUAAAUGCAAUUUCAGGCAGUUUUUCUGCUUGAGGGCAUAAUUUCAGUUUGCUCGUUAUGACAGCCUUGCAGUACAAGUUGUUAUCUGGCACGGGUAGGUGUAUAGCUUUGUAUUUUCAUUGGAAUCUCAUUUAUUCUCUGUUCUGGGAGUGCUGAAAGCUUAACAUGUCAUUAGUAUUCUUUCUGGUCUUUUGAAAACUAUCAGCUGCAUCAUUAUAACACAAGGAAAAUGGGUCUCUCUCAAGUUCCCCUCCUAUUAGGGCAUGCAAACUAUGCAAAACCUUCAUUUUUGGCCUGGGCUGAAGCAGUUGAACACAGAAUCGAACAUUAGUGACAACUAAUUACACCGUCCGAAGCCUCAGAGCAGCAGAAGAAAACAUUGCUUAUCAAGGAGGAUGAGCCGAGACAGUGACCUGGUUUUCCCAAGUUGUGCACAGACGGUGCUGGGAGCUGUGGCUGACAAGGAAUGCUAAUGGUGUCAGGCACAGGGAGCAGCCCCGUCCUGCAGGCAGCACAGCUGCAUGUGCUCCCACCAGCCCUGUGCCCAGGGGCUCCUUGGAGUGCUCUGCAAGUGUUCCCUUUCCUUAUAUGUUGCUCAUUAGCUCAUUCAGAGUGCCAAGCAAAUGUAUGUAGAUUGCUCCAUAAGUAAUGCCUCCUAUUUAUUUCCAUGGAAAAUACAACAGCUACAAAGAACACAAUAACACCGUUUGAUGGAGGAAAUUCUCCGCUACAAAAUAUUAUUUUUCAAAAUAGUCACCAUCAUUAUCUACAUGCUUUUGUCAGAAAUGUACAAGAGCCAGCAGGCUGGCACCGGAAGUGACCAUGGCCUCCUGCUGACACAUUUACUUGUGUGGGCACCAAGCAGCCUCCCUGCUGGAGGAGGUAUACAGGAAGAGCAGAGCAUAAGUUGCAUCCAUUCCUCUUCCACUGAAAGAAGAAGGCUCUGUUUGCUGGAUCCUUUCCACCUGAGAAAAAAGAUGGAGAUGUCGCUAUGCGCAAUACAUGGGGCUACAUAGGGUUUGAAUUUUGAGUGGUCCUUUGUGGUCCAGCUGGGAGCUGGACUCAAUGAGCCUUGAGGGCCCAUUCCAACUCGGGAUAUUCUGUAACUUUCUGACAGGUGGGGUGAUGAACACAUCUUGCUGAAGUGCGUGGCUGUGCAGUGCAGCCUGCUGCCCCAGGCCUCCUGGCCCAGCCAUACUUAACCUGCUAGGCCCCUUUUCUGGAGACAACGGACCUCAAGGAAAUGCUGGUCAGGCCAACAGGCUGGCACGAGGCAGGCUGGUAUCUGGACAGUGGAAACAUUCUUCUGAUCAGAAUUUAGAAACCAGACAGCUUAAAAAGACAAUAACAAGACAGUGCUUUGGAAUAAAGGGCCCCAAACACAACAGUGUCUUAGCUGUGGUGCUGCAAGAAGGAUCACGUGUGCCAAAUCUUCUGUUGUGUUCGCUGUUUUUAUUCAAGGUGAACAGAUUUAUGAACACAUGAUAUGUGUGGCAAAGAAGGAUGAUUUGGAUGUCUAUUCCAUUAAUUCUUCUCAAAGAAAAAUGGCAAGGUGCCCUUACAAGCCCGUUUCUACUUAGUGCUUGGCAAAAGGGACAAUCCAUGUUUUUAAGAUUUCACAGUGACACAAUAUGGCAUUUGGAGUGUUUUUAAGUGCUUAUUUUGAAUCAUCAGUAGAUUUUCUGAGCUAUCUGUAGGGAUCACAUCUUUCUACCAUCUUCAAUGGAACUGAACAACCAAGAAGAAAAAUCCCCUACAAAAUAGGGAGCAAAAAACAUUGAGAUCAGAAAAAGAGACAGUGGGAGUAGCAGCGAUACUGAGACAAGCAAAAAGUCCCUGAGGAAUUGGGAAAAUGGAAGGAAGAAGAAACUUCAAGGCAUUGCAGCAGAGUGUGAGACCAGCAGUAUGGCUGGGGACUGCAGCCAGGUGCAGCUGGGAAGAGCUGUGAGAGCAAAGGGCUUGGGGGUGAGCCAGGCAGGAGCACAGCGCCUGGCAUGUCACUGUAUGUGGCAAAUUAGAAAUCUCAGUAGGCUUUCCAUUGUUAGCUGUACCAGAAGACUUCCCACCAUGUUGGAGAUGUUAAGUUAUGUGUGUUCUGCUUUUGCCACCAUGGAAUUUAAAUAGACAUCCAAAUAGCAAAGUCUGGCAUUCAUACAUUAUCCCUAAUACAUUGUAGAAGUGGUAUAAUUUGGGCAAGCCAUUUUUCCUAAGUCUAGGCCCUUAUGUUUUAGGCCAAUGGAUGAUGGCAGAGGUUCUGCUGCUGUUUUCGGAUUUUAUUUUGUAAGGCAUGGCAUUUGCAUUCCUCAGCUGCAUGAACAAGACAAGGCAAGGGUUGACGUGGAAAUUCAGAACAGAGAGUAGUUGGAUUAGCUCUGUGGUAAGCAGCAUUGCAUUUCAAGGGCUAACAAUUCCUAUGAUCAAAUAUUUGUAUUUUCAGGGACUAUAUCCUCUCCUCAUUAAUUUGUAGUUGCCACGAUGAAAUCAUGAUAAAUCAUCAUAAAUCAUCUCAGCAAGGGAGGACAGGGGGGAGGGUUAAGUUAGAAUUGUUUGGGUUAAAUAUUAGAAGAUCAUCUUGAUUUUACACAUUUCCAGGAAAUGCACUGAAGAAUUCUUGUCACAGACAUGAAGGUCUAGUUUUAUGGAUUCCCUUUUGUUGUCAUUGUGACACCAUUUGGUGGUUGUUGUUGUUCGAAGGGAUGAUGAUGGAGACAAGGCUAAUUUUCAGUAAAUUUCAUGAGUAUUCAAAUAAUUCCAUGGCGGCUCAUGCAACAGCUGGCUCAGCAUAGAUGAGAGCAAGUCUUUUUAGAGGUCUUAUUAACAGUUUUAAGGAGUAUUAUGUUAACAACGCCAUAAAAACAUUUAAAUUCAGACAUUCUACUUAAGAAUAUACAUUCAUUAAGUGAAUGUAAAUUAAAGUUAUCAUGAAAAGGCAGUGUAAUUAAGAUUUCUGAUUUGUGUAAUGAUGAGAAGUGUGCAUUAAAUUCUUAGUUUAAGAAUUCUUUGUGAAAGUGAUGACUUGAACAUUGACAAGGAUGUAACUGUAGAUGAAACUCUUUCAUAGAACAAGUUUUUGGUUGUUUUUUUUUCCAGACUUGAAUUUGGAAAGUAUCAUUUUGUCACAGUUUGCAAUAUAUUAGAUUUGUUACAUGCAUGAGUAUGACCAUUAGCUUUGUGUAAUAAACAGUUUGUUGUAAGAAAUAAUGUAGCAUAUAAUCAAAGCAAAUAGUAGAUCUAAUCGCAUUCAGUUUAUCUUUGGCCAUGUCCAAUCUGGUGUGGAAUUUAAAAGGAAACUUUGUUCAAGAAUUAAAUGGAAGUCAUUGAAACCAAUUACACUUAAGAUUGUGUUUACAUGUAAAAUCUGAGAAACACAAUCCCUAGUUUAUUAUUAUAAUCAAUCUUCUGAACCCUGCUUCUCCUAUAGAAAAGGGUAAGCAUUCCUUUGGCUCCUGAGGGCAAACCUGGAAAAAAAAGAAAAAAAAGAAAAAAAAAAAAGCCUGUAGCCCUGUUCUGUAACCAGAAAGAGAUCAGGACCAAAUCCAAAAUGAUGGAAAGACACUGCUUCACACAAUUCUUCCCCACUAGGACAACCAGUUGUGGAACCACAGAAGCCUCCCUGGUAUGGUGUUGUUGCUCUACCUUGCCUCAGGCACUGUGGAAGGGGGGAAGCAAAUUCUGAAAUGCACAGGAAAAUUAUAUAAAAUGGAGAAGGGUAUAGAAAGAAGUUGAGAAGAAGGAGAGGAUGGUGGUGUUUUUUGCUAACAAAAUGAAUUUUCAAGGCUGUCUGCUGAGUGGCAUCAAAGAGGAGUAUGGAAUUUCGAAAAUGUUCGUGACCCAGAGAACAUGUUCCUGCCACAUCAAUGCAUUUGUGGCACUGUCAGUGCUUGCAGAAAUUUCAGUGAGGCUGCAUCCUACUUAUUUCAAAAUAAUCCAUUGAAAACAAUCUGGUGCCUUCGAAUCUUUUACUCACAGGAGAAUGUAUUCUGCAAAGCAUUCACUGUUACUUCUUUUCUUACUAUUUCAAGCAUGAACAGAAUUAUCUGCCCCCUUUGCACAGUUUUUAACAAAAAAACAAAUCCUGUUCUCAGAGUUGCAGACCAGUUUUACUGGUGAUUCUCAUAAUGGUCAGACAGAUGGUCAGAUCCAUGGCACAGUGCUCACUGCUGUCAGCCACUGUUUGCCAUCCCCAGUUCUGGAGGUCUCCACGAAGAGGGGAGCAGCAGAGCCACAGCCCCUUUGCCUGGCUCAGCGCAGCAGCUCUCAGCAGCUUGUGCCUCCUGCCCACUGUUGGCUUUGUCAAGCCUAACCCUGCUGCCUGUCUGGAUCUGCUCUUAGGAUCAUACCUUGGGGUUAGGAGUUGUUAGAAACAGGUGAGAACUCCUGGCUCGGCAGUGCAUCUUCUGGUUUGAGAAUGCUCACUGGGCCACACAUUCUGGCUGCUAGGUAUGAAAAAGAGCAUCGGACACCAAACAAAAGAUACCCAGACUUCACUUUUAUUUCCAUCUCACAUCUGACCCAGGAAAUUUCCUCACAUUCUUGGGCAAAGUGUGGCUGAAGUCCUGAAUAAGAUCAAUUGGCUCAGGGGACUUUAAUGGCAACAAAAUUAAAAAGGGAUUUCUUUUCCUGAUUUUGAGGACCACAGAAAGGAUGAGCCUAGAAACAGAAAUUACAAGCUACAAAUCUUAGAGAUCAGGGCCAGCCUCAAGAGAACAUCAGGUACAUUAACACAGCUUGCUAGAGAUGAAAAUCCAGCUUGACUGCAUCCAAAUAGGGACUCAAAAUCUUAUUGACAGACCAUAUCUUUAGAAGCCCCAAGUGCCAGCAGCAGUGCUCUGACAACUCAGUGCACAAGUUGGAGCUGUGCAGCUCCUCUCCUUUCAAUGUAUGUGCAGAUCCUGCAGGUCUUUCUGUAUGCUCCUCAUUGUGUUUUAGGAAUAAUUAUCUCACAUUGGUCUCUGCUGCCAUACAUGGCAUAUAAGGAUUUUCUUUUCUUUAUGGAAAAAAAUUCCUUUUGAGGAAGUCUGUCUUAACUUCUAAUGCAUGCAAAAUUUCAGAUGCAGAUGGCUGUGAAUAGUGCCAGUCUGCUUAUCUUACUUCUGCUAAUAUUAGUAAAUCUAUUCACGCAAGUAAACAAGAUUCAUCUUAAGUGGGUCAAAUAUUUUUUUGUCGAAAAGAAAACAAAGAUAUUCAGAGGCCUCUAAGAUUGACAUGAGGUCUCAAGAGAUCACUCUCCCCCUCACUGCUCACAGGUCACACAGGAUGGCAGAGAGGGACACUGAUGAGUGCAGUGUUCCUUCAAGGCCCAGUUGGAAAACUUCCUCUCUGAAAACUGAGGGAACUUGUGCUUGACAAAAUGCCCUAGCAGCCAGGGAAGCUCAGUCAAACCGCUGCAUCUGCUGUCUGGAAAACACAAGAACACGUGUGUCUUUGGCAAGCUGAAAGCCAUUCCUCCCCUACGCAGCUCAGACCAAAAUGAAAUUUUGACUGCUUCUUUCCUCCUACUGCAAUGGCUCAGUGCUCCUGCUGGACAGCUACAGAUUGCUAACUGUUCCUGGCACCGGAUGCCUCCGCAUGGACGUGAAGCCAAGAAGCCAAGAGAGAAACCAUAUUGCCAAGUCCAAGUAUUCUGAAAUUGCAGCAACCUUUUCCCUACACAAAAAGUGGGUUAUUAUGUGUAUUUAUCUUCUGUUGCUCCGUGUUUUCAGUAAACACAUUUCAAACUC